Molecule: unclassified non-coding RNA, 253 nt
Filed under: Hevea brasiliensis (rubber tree)
Lineage: Eukaryota; Viridiplantae; Streptophyta; Magnoliopsida; Malpighiales; Euphorbiaceae
Source: RNAcentral
AACAGAAGCCGAUAAGCCUUAGAAAACCAAAGAAGGGGAGGGGUGGAAUCUCCUUUGAAAUCUAAGGCGGCUUUCUUGUUUUAUUUUUUUAAAGUAGUUGACAGUUAAAAGUUAAAACUCCAGUAUAAUAUGGUUGGAUUUAUUUUUUAUUUUUUUGAAAAUCAAAAAGCAAUGUAUUUGUCUUGUAUAUAAGGGGGCACUGUCUUAUCAACAAAACUCAUAAAAUGAAAAUGAAGAUUCAAAGCCUCUGUAU